CUUUAGCCUCGAUGUCCAAUUGCUCUCGCAAUUACCUUUUAUUCUGUGGUUCAGAAUAAAAGAUAUAGCGUACAGCGGGAACGUUG
RNAcentral lists this small RNA (86 nucleotides) under Flavobacterium sp. 1. RNAcentral describes it as "Flavo-1 RNA". The record is from RNAcentral. Lineage: Bacteria; Pseudomonadati; Bacteroidota; Flavobacteriia; Flavobacteriales; Flavobacteriaceae.